Long non-coding RNA from Carassius gibelio (silver crucian carp), 2165 nucleotides. RefSeq lists it as uncharacterized. The record is from RefSeq and is a predicted model, not a curated record. The transcript has 2 exons. NCBI's taxonomy places the organism in Eukaryota, Metazoa, Chordata, Actinopteri, Cypriniformes, Cyprinidae.
CACAGCAGGCUACAAGAGAGAUCGUCUGACCCCUCGAAAGCUGUCUCAGUGUCGACGGACCGAAUGGUUUCACUUUCUGCAGCUGUCACUCACUCGUGUAUGAUAGCGAAUCUUCAUCGCUGAUCUAAAACCAGUGUUCUCCACCUGCCUUUAGGAGGACCCGAAAUGUCAUUACAGCAAUCACGGAUGCAGUUCCGAGAGUUUCUAGAAAUUUCCAACACAAAAAAGUGCGGAGGUACUUGGCACACUGCUGAUGCCCGUUGUAUUCAGCCAGGUCUGCUGCUGAGAACCCAUCCUGGUCCCGUAUCCCCAUGUCCACGCCGUUCACUACCAGAAUCUGACAGCACUGCAUGGAGAAACAGACAUUUACAUUAACAACCACAUAGACUGCAUGCUCUGGGGCUGUUUUAUUAAAUAGAUUUACCUCUGUCGGCUAAAGCAAGCAUUACUAUUCAUAGUGCUCAUUCAUAAGGUUAUGGUUUUACACAGUAUUACACAGAAUUGUGCACCUAUUUAUGACUGAACAACUGCUUAAUACUGCUCGUUCUGAAGGGUGUAAAUAUUUGUCUGUUUGAGAAGGUUGAGUAAAGUAUGAGUGGUGUUCAUGAAUGCAGUAAAAGGGUAUUUUGUUAAUGACAGCUGUCAUGCGUUUGGCCCUCGGGUGGAGAACGAGAGACAAUACUCUGACUGCUUCUGUGUCCCACUCUUUCUGUCAGCAGCCUUCAGAUGGAUAAUGUUACGAACCAAUAAAAGUGUCGCACGAUUGUGGAAAGUUCCAAACACUAAGGUUUAGAGCACUUCCAGGUUGCUGAAUAAAUAAAUGUAACAAAUAAAGCAUGUAACAAUUAUUAAAUAUAACAUGAAAAAUGCACAAUAAUUGCAAUAAUUAUUAUUUAUAAUAUAUUGUACAUACAAAAAGGCAAAGGAAUUUCAUUUUUUAACUCAACUAAACUUUCUAGUGAAUUACUACUGACUUGUUGAGAGUGUAUAUUAACCGAACCUUAUAUACAGUGUCACUAUAAUAUGUAUAAUAUGUCACUUGUUUCUCAUAAAUCAUUUUAAUCAUUUUUAAUCAUUUUAUAAUCAUUUUAUUAUAACUAUGUAUCAUUACAAAAGUUCACAAAUGUGAUGUUUAAGAAUCAUUCUUGAUUUUUUUUUUUUUCAAGUGAAAGUCAAGAGAUAGAUGAUUUAUAAAGUAAAUCACCAAAACAGGCAUUAAUAAUAUUAACCUAUACUGCAAAAUACUGCACAUCACGGUAGGUUAUAUAGCACACCUGGCUAAAACGAUGCACCUCUAGUUUGCAAUGUCAACAAACAGUAUUGUGAAAUCUUAAGUAACUGAAUAAACUACACUAAAAGUAUCCAAAAUGUAAUGUUAAAGUUACACAUGAUUGUUAGAUCAAAUCUCUACAAAAGAGACUUCAAAAUGUAAUAUUCAAAAAUCUAUAUUUAUUAUUAUUAUUAUUUUACUCAAGUAAUAGUCAAGAUAUAGCAUCUCUUUUUAUAUAAUUAUACAGUACACAAAUAAAACAGAUAUUUGCUUUAUGUUAUAGAUUAUUAAGAGCAUUAGCUCAAUCUAGUUCUAUCUUGGCAUUGCAUCUCAGAUGAAUCAGUUUAAGUGGAAGAUCACCCUAAAAUUAUUUGUACCACAAUGACUCUGUUAUCAUAUGUGACCCUGGAGCACUAAGCCAGUCUUAAGUCUCCUGGGUAUAUUUGCAGCAAUAGCCAAAAAUACAUAGCAUGUAUCAAAAUUAUUGAUUUUUCUUUUAUGCCAAGAAUCAUUAGGAUAUAAAGUAAAGAUCAUGUUUCAUGAAGAUAUUUUGUCAAUUUCCUACCGUAAAUAUAUCAAAACUUAAUUUUUGAUUAGUAACAUGCAUUGCUAAGAACUUUACUUGGACAACGUUAUAGGUGAUUUUCUCAGUAUUUAGAUUUUUUUUGCACCCUCAGAUUUCAGAUUUUCAAAUAGCUGUAUCUCAGACAAAUAUUGUCCUAUCCUAACAAACCAUACAUCAAUAGAAAGCUUAUUUAUUCAGCUUCUAUGUAUUGUAUAAAUGUAAAUGUAAAUAAAUUAAAUGUACUUCAAAUGCAUUUUCCUAUUUUAACCCUAAAUGUAUUAUACUAAAAUAAAGUGGUACACAAUUUAUGAUGUGUUCACAAUUCACAAA